UACGUAGGGUGCGAGCGUUGUCCGGAAUUAUUGGGCGUAAAGAGCUCGUAGGCGGUGUGUCACGUCGUUCGUGAAAACCUGCAGCUUAACUGAGGGCGUGCGGUCGAUACGGGCAUCACUGGAGUUCGGCAGGGGAGACUGGAAUUCCUGGUGUAGCGGUGAAAUGCGCAGAUAUCAGGAGGAACACCGGUGGCGAAGGCGGGUCUCUGGACAGUUCCUGACACUGAGGCACGAAGGCCAGGGGAGCAAACGGG
This 254-nucleotide ribosomal RNA is filed under the name uncultured bacterium. RNAcentral's name for it is "partial 16S ribosomal RNA". It matches the Rfam family "Bacterial small subunit ribosomal RNA", at positions 524 to 776 of the family's 1533-position model. The record is from RNAcentral.